UCCCUUUUAAAAGCACUCAGUGGGCCUUUUGCUAACGACCCAUUGAGCUGCCAAAAAGGGGCAGAAUAAAAAUACUGCUUUUGGGUGAAGUGGCAGCAUGUGCUGUUUUGCUUCAAUUGGUGGUGUGACAAGC
Molecule: small nucleolar RNA, 133 nt
Filed under: Jaculus jaculus (lesser Egyptian jerboa)
Lineage: Eukaryota; Metazoa; Chordata; Mammalia; Rodentia; Dipodidae
Source: RNAcentral